This 484-nucleotide ribosomal RNA is filed under the name uncultured bacterium. RNAcentral's name for it is "partial 16S ribosomal RNA". It matches the Rfam family "Bacterial small subunit ribosomal RNA", at positions 30 to 507 of the family's 1533-position model. The record is from RNAcentral.
AUUGAACGCUGGCGGCAGGCCUAACACAUGCAAGUCGAGCGGAUGAAGGGAGCUUGCUCCUGGAUUCAGCGGCGGACGGGUGAGUAAUGCCUAGGAAUCUGCCUGGUAGUGGGGGAUAACGUCCGGAAACGGGCGCUAAUACCGCAUACGUCCUGAGGGAGAAAGUGGGGGAUCUUCGGACCUCACGCUAUCAGAUGAGCCUAGGUCGGAUUAGCUAGUUGGUGGGGUAAAGGCCUACCAAGGCGACGAUCCGUAACUGGUCUGAGAGGAUGAUCAGUCACACUGGAACUGAGACACGGUCCAGACUCCUACGGGAGGCAGCAGUGGGGAAUAUUGGACCAUGGGCGAUAGCCUGAUCCAGCCAUGCCGCGUGUGUGAAGAAGGUCUUCGGAUUGUAAAGCACUUUAAGUUGGGAGGAAGGGCAGUAAGUUAAUACCUUGCUGUUUUGACGUUACCAACAGAAUAAGCACCGGCUAACUUCGUG